Molecule: transfer RNA, 91 nt
Filed under: Mycoplasmopsis alligatoris A21JP2
Lineage: Bacteria; Bacillati; Mycoplasmatota; Mycoplasmoidales; Metamycoplasmataceae
Description: Mycoplasma alligatoris A21JP2 tRNA-Ser
Rfam family: tRNA
About the family: Transfer RNA (tRNA) molecules are approximately 80 nucleotides in length. Their secondary structure includes four short double-helical elements and three loops (D, anti-codon, and T loops).
Source: RNAcentral
GGUCAAUUACCCAAGUGGCUGAAGGGACCGCUCUCGAAAAGCGGCAGGGGAUGAAAGUCCCGCAAGAGUUCAAAUCUCUUAUUGACCGCCA